CUAGCAUUAAAAUUUAAUCAAGACAUUUAUUAAGGAGCUAUGUUUAGUUUACUUAGAAUUUCAUAAAUUUUGUUUGAAAUGUUAUAAAAUUUUGAAGUCUUAAUAAAUAAAUACUCUAAAAAAUAAAUUUCUAAAUCACACAAUACUAAUAUGUAUGAUAAUUAUUGAUUUUAUACAAAUAAGUUGCUGGACCUUUUAUUUUUUAAAGAUAAAAUAAAAAAAUAAAAAUUAUUUGUAUACAUAUUUUAAAAAUAAUUGAUACAAAAGCAGUAUUUAUGUAAUGCUACUUUAAAAAAUUCUACUUUAAAAAAUUCUAUGCAUAGUUUUGUUAUAUA
RNAcentral lists this long non-coding RNA (335 nucleotides) under Physcomitrium patens. Its description in RNAcentral is "long non-coding RNA (PPAT_LNC007083)". Lineage: Eukaryota; Viridiplantae; Streptophyta; Bryopsida; Funariales; Funariaceae. The record is from RNAcentral.